Molecule: ribosomal RNA, 285 nt
Filed under: Triticum aestivum (bread wheat)
Lineage: Eukaryota; Viridiplantae; Streptophyta; Magnoliopsida; Poales; Poaceae
Description: partial small subunit ribosomal RNA
Source: RNAcentral
AUGCAAUUGUCUUUCGUUAAUUCUGACAAUAUGAAGGUUAUCGACACCAUAAAGAGUGGAGGAUGUUCCGCAAGAGCGGCGGCAGCGGUUUUUGAUGACUGCUAUCAUUUGGCAUGCGAUUUUACUAUCUCUAGAUUCGAACGUUGGAGUAGAGAAGCAAAUAGGGUAGCUCAUGAACUGACUAGGUUGGCUAGAAUUUCAUCGAAUUUUGAUUGGUUUGAGGAACCUCUGAAUGAAAUAGUAACCCUACUCAUAGACGAUGUAUCUAUUAUAUCGAUAGAAUAA